UAUAUAUAUAUAUAUAUAUAUAUUUGUAUUGUAUUUAUUUUUUAAAUAAAUUUACAAAAUUUUUGGACCUUCACUUCAAUAAUAUCUCAACGGUUGUUCAGCAAUAACAAGAUAAAAUAAUGCUCAACGGUUGUUCAGCAAUAUUAAGAUGUCAAAAUUAAAAUUUUAACUCUCUUUCCUGCAAGACUGGUUCAAGGUUUUAUUGAGAUCAAGGUUUGAUACCCCAAUUAUAAAAAAAGUGUAUUCUUUAAAAUUCAGAAAAGGAUAUUUUGAGGAUAUGUGCAUGCAGUGUUGUUGAAGAACAUGCAUUUAUUCACACUUUUGAAAACGUCUGAAAAUAACUUUAAAUUUUGAACAGGUGGUUACGCCUGGGUUUCCAACACACAAAAACGUUGAAAAAGCGUUGAAUCUUCGAUGAUAUUAAUUUAAUGACUACUAUUGCUCUAAGAAUAACCAAUACUGAAUGUCAGACGUCUUUUGCAAUCAAAGUACUUAACACAAAAACUUUCCAACUUUUAUGUCAAAAACGGUUUAAAAACAUUUUCUAAGGAAAUAUUUUUAUAUUAAAACUAAUUUCAAGUUUGUUAGUGCUGGUAUACUUUAUAUGAUAUACUAUUUGCAUA
Non-coding RNA from Hydra vulgaris (swiftwater hydra), 623 nucleotides. The record is from RefSeq and is a predicted model, not a curated record. Lineage: Eukaryota; Metazoa; Cnidaria; Hydrozoa; Anthoathecata; Hydridae.